This 77-nucleotide transfer RNA is filed under the name Brookesia thieli (Domergue's leaf chameleon). Its description in RNAcentral is "tRNA-Ile". Lineage: Eukaryota; Metazoa; Chordata; Lepidosauria; Squamata; Chamaeleonidae. The record is from RNAcentral.
GGAAAGGUGCCCGAGAACCAAGGACUACUUUGAUAAAGUAAAAACAGAGACACAAUCUCUCUUUUCCCUCUUUCCAA